ACGGGAGGCAGCAGUGGGGGAUAUUGCACAAUGGGGGAAACCCUGAUGCAGCGACGCCGCGUGAGUGAAGAAGUAUUUCGGUAUGUAAAGCUCUAUCAGCAAGGAAGAAAAUGACGGUACUUGACUAAGAAGCUCCGGCUAAAUACGUGCCAGCAGCCGCGGUAGUACGUAUGGAGCAAGCGUUAUCCGGAUUUACUGGGUGUAAAGGGAGCGUAGACGGCAUGGCAAGUCUGAUGUGAAAGCCCGGGGCUCAACCCCGGGACUGCAUUGGAAACUGUUAAGCUAGAGUGCAGGAGAGGUUAGUGGAAUUCCUAGUGUAGCGGUGAAAUGCGUAGAUAUUAGGAGGAACACCAGUGGCGAAGGCGGCUUACUGGACUGUAACUGACGUUGAGGCUCGAAAGCGUGGGGAGCAAACAGGAUUAGAUACCCUGGUA
RNAcentral lists this ribosomal RNA (434 nucleotides) under uncultured Lachnospiraceae bacterium. RNAcentral's name for it is "partial 16S ribosomal RNA". It matches the Rfam family "Bacterial small subunit ribosomal RNA", at positions 341 to 792 of the family's 1533-position model. Lineage: Bacteria; Bacillati; Bacillota; Clostridia; Lachnospirales; Lachnospiraceae. The record is from RNAcentral.